This is a non-coding RNA of Pelobates cultripes (western spadefoot toad), 1362 nucleotides long. The record is from the annotation of a GenBank genome assembly. NCBI's taxonomy places the organism in Eukaryota, Metazoa, Chordata, Amphibia, Anura, Pelobatidae.
GGAAGGGUAGAAAUGAUUGCCAAAAACUAAACAGAAUUGUUUCAGCAGCUGUAUUGGAAUUUAACUACUAAUGGAAGCACAACAAAAAUCAUCUUGCUUCAUGCCAGGGGGUAAGGUAGAGCUAGGUGAAUCAUGUGGAAUGCAGUAAACAAUGCAGUAGCAUAACAUUUCAGGAGUGCAGUGCACAAUGCUGAGUGAUGGGAUUUGGAGAAGCAUGAUGUGUGUGUACAUUCCAGAACUGUAUACUAUUCUGUAACUGUCUGUCAUUUCAUGAGCGUUUGCAACACAAGAUGCAACAGAGUUACAUAGGUGGGUCACCACAAGGGAACUUAAAGGAACACUCCGGUCCAGGCCUAUUGGGCCUGGUCCUAAAAAUUGUGAUGGGGCUGGUUACAAAAUCUUGAUAACAGAAAACACUAGAUGAAUUCAUAAGAAUACACAGAGCUGGGCACAAAACAAAGAUAUUUAUACAAAAUACAGAUCUAAGCAUUAUUUAUAUAGCGCCAACUUAUUCACCAGUGAUUUACAAUUUUAUAAAAGGGGGGGAAUUUAACAAUAGAUGAGACAAUUACAUUACAUGAGAGAGACUUGGGCAUUUGUCUGUCUUUUGAGUUUAGAUUCAUUGAGCUUAAGUAUCAGGAAGUAAAGGGACCGGUUGACUAACAAUUUUAUUAAAAGAAAGUGUACAAUUGUCAUGAUAUAGUGAAAACUCAAUGCUCCAUGGGAUAUAACUUUAACCCACAAUAUGUAUACAAAGCAAACACAAAACACAGUGGGAGCAGAUAAGGUAUACCUUAAAAAAUGGAUGGGAAAUUAUGAGUAAGAAUCUGUAAUAAAAUGACAGGGAAACAAUAGUGCAGAUAGUUUUCAAAAGUAUAAAAUAUCCAUAACAAGUAAUGUACACUCAAAAAUGUAGAGGCAUAUUGACACCUGGCUCUAGUGGAUGAAACUUUAGGAUCCUAAGGGAGACCCUCACCCCUCUUCUAUGUAUGGAAUCCCGGACAAUAUGAGUAAUGUUGAUCCUGGGUCCCGAUAUCUUCGAAAAAGAGGAGAAAAUCUACAAAGUAUGGAAUUAAACUCCGAUAAAAAAAAUAAACCAAAAAUCAAAUCCUAAUAGUGCUGGAUAGUAGAAACUAGUGUUCUCCAAUAGUUAAAAUUGCCCAGAACGCGUUUUGCCAAGUAAAUUGGCUUCCUCAGCUGGUGAAUUCACUGCUUUUAUUUCUGUCCGGUUUUAUAGGUCCUUAAUUGGUUGACUCUCCCCACCUGCGUUGGAUGUGCACAUCUCUCGUGGAACGCACAUUAUGUUUCAUUCGGUGGCGACGCCUUACUUCCCGUAACAGAAGAAGAUGAACAAUUUAAAAU